ACUCCCAAUCCUUGUACCAGUGUCUUGACACCAGUGACGCUGGACGGGUUUUGGGGGGGCU
This is a microRNA precursor of Astatotilapia calliptera (eastern happy), 61 nucleotides long. NCBI's taxonomy places the organism in Eukaryota, Metazoa, Chordata, Actinopteri, Cichliformes, Cichlidae. The record is from Ensembl.